AAUCGAACCCGGAGAUAGCUGGUUCUCCUCGAAAUAGCUUUAGGGCUAGCCUCAUACAAGUCUGCCGGAGGUAGAGCACUGAAUUUCCGCGGGGGCGUCAAAGCCUACCAAAGAAUAUCAAACUCCGAAUGCCGGACAGAUGGUGUAUGGGAGUCAGACUGUACGAGAUAAGUUGGACAGUCAAAAGGGAAAGAGCCCAGACCGCCGGCUAAGGUCCCAAAGUGGGUGUUAAGUGGAAAAGGAUGUGGGAUCUCUAAGACAACCAGGAUGUUGGCUCAGAAGCAGCCAUUCAUUAAAAGAGUGCGUAACAGCUCACUGGUCGAGAGGUCCUGCGCCGAAAAUGUCCGGGGCUGAAACACCACACCGAAGCCGCGGAACCCGUAAGGGUUGGUAGAGGAGCAUUCUUAGGGGAGCGAAGCAUUACCGGAAGGGGAUGUGGACUGCUAAGAAGAGAGAAUGCCGGAAUGAGUAGCGAGAGCAAGGUGGGAAUCCUUGCGGCCGAAUAUCCAAGGUUUCCAGAGUAAAGCUGAUCUGCUCUGGGUAAGUCGGGGCCUAAGGAGAGGCAGAGAUGCGUAUCCGAUGGACAGCAGGUUUAAGAUUCCUGCACCCCUUGUUAUCAGAACUGCGGGGACACGGGAAGGGAAGCAGAGCCGGGAAUGGAAAGCCCGGUGCAAGCGAAGUAGUCGCAGGGUUGGAAAAUCCGCCCUGCAUGAGACGAAGGCGUGAUGCGGAGCGAAAUGAAGUAGUGAAGCUGCGGCCCCUUCCUGUCGAGAAAAGCCGCUAUCGUGUAGCAAGGGCCCGUACCGUAAACCGACACAGGUGGAUGAGGAGAGGAUCCUAAGGCCGGCGGGAGAAGUGUUGUUAAGGAACUCGGCAAAAUGACUCCGUAACUUCGGGAGAAGGAGUGCUGCGCAAGCAGCCGCAGAGAAAUGGCCCAAGCAACUGUUUAGCAAAAACACAGGUCUAUGCGAAACCGAAAGGUGAGGUAUAUGGGCUGACGCCUGCCCGGUGCUGGAAGGUUAAGGGGAGAGGUUAGCGCAAGCGAAGCUUUGAACUUAAGCCCCAGUAAACGGCGGCCGUAACUAUAACGGUCCUAAGGUAGCGAAAUUCCUUGUCGGGUAAGUUCCGACCCGCACGAAAGGCGUAAUGAUUUGGGCACUGUCUCAACAACACACCCGGUGAAAUUGAAAUACCAGUGAAGAUGCUGGUUACCCGCGCCAGGACGGAAAGACCCCAUGGAGCUUUACUCCAGCCUGAUACUGGGAUUCGGUAUUGCAUGUACAGGAUAGGUGGGAGGCUAAGAACUCAUGGCGCCAGCCGUGAGGGAGCCGAUGUUGGGAUACCACCCCUGCAGUACUGGGUUUCUAACCUGCGCCCGUGACCCGGGCGGGGGACAAUGUCAGGCGGGGAGUUUGACUGGGGCGGUCGCCUCCGAAAGGGUAUCGGAGGCGCUCAAAGGUUCCCUCAGAAUGGUUGGAAACCAUUCGAAGAGUGCAAAGGCAGAAGGGAGCUUGACUGCGACACCGACGGGUGGAGCAGGUACGAAAGUAGGACUUAGUGAUCCGGUGGCAUAAAGUGGGAUUGCCAUCGCUCAACGGAUAAAAGCUACCCUGGGGAUAACAGGCUUAUCACUCCCAAGAGUUCACAUCGACGGAGUGGUUUGGCACCUCGAUGUCGGCUCAUCGCAUCCUGGAGCUGGAGCAGGUUCCAAGGGUUGGGCUGUUCGCCCAUUAAAGCGGUACGCGAGCUGGGUUCAGA
Molecule: ribosomal RNA, 1758 nt
Filed under: human gut metagenome
Description: bacterial LSU rRNA
Rfam family: Bacterial large subunit ribosomal RNA
Source: RNAcentral